GACAGAGGGUGCAAACGUUGUUCGGAAUUACUGGGCGUAAAGCGUGUGUAGGCGGUCAUGCAAGUCGGAUGUGAAAGCCCCGGGCUCAACCCGGGAAGUGCACUCGAUACUGCGUGACUUGAGUAUCGGAGAGGUUGGUGGAAUUCUCGGUGUAGAGGUGAAAUUCGUAGAUAUCGAGAGGAACACCGGCGGCGAAGGCGGCGACCUGGGCCAAUAUUGACGCUGAGGUGCGAAAGCGUGGGGAGCAAACAGG
Molecule: ribosomal RNA, 253 nt
Filed under: uncultured bacterium
Lineage: Bacteria
Description: partial 16S ribosomal RNA
Rfam family: Bacterial small subunit ribosomal RNA
Source: RNAcentral